AGGUCAUGGCCAACUUUAAAAAUAGCCUGAGUUUUUCACGAAUGGGCCACAAACAUGGGACCCAAAGACGAUCCUUGGUUGAGGUCAUGGAUUUGAUCCCAAAUCAUCCAAUUACGGAAAAAGAGGCCAUUAUUACUGACUCAAUCACGAUAAUCAACCUUCACAUUAAGGAGGCAGCCAUGAUAUGAUUGGAUAUGAGGUUGUUGUAUUCCGUCCCCUUGAGAAGACACAGGUUAUGGACCUAGAUAGAUGAUGGUUAGAUGGAGGGAUUUCUUUUAUAUGUACUUAGAAUAUUUUCAACA
Magnolia sinica is the source of this 302-nucleotide long non-coding RNA. RefSeq lists it as uncharacterized. The transcript is spliced from 4 exons. NCBI's taxonomy places the organism in Eukaryota, Viridiplantae, Streptophyta, Magnoliopsida, Magnoliales, Magnoliaceae. The record is from RefSeq and is a predicted model, not a curated record.